CGCACAAGCGGUGGAGCAUGUGGUUUAAUUCGAUGCAACGCGAAGAACCUUACCUGGUCUUGACAUCCACAGAACUUAGCAGAGAUGCUUUGGUGCCUUCGGGAACUGUGAGACAGGUGCUGCAUGGCUGUCGUCAGCUCGUGUUGUGAAAUGUUGGGUUAAGUCCCGCAACGAGCGCAACCCUUAUCCUUUGUUGCCAGCGGUUCGGCCGGGAACUCAAAGGAGACUGCCAGUGAUAAACUGGAGGAAGGUGGGGAUGACGUCAAGUCAUCAUGGCCCUUAC
RNAcentral lists this ribosomal RNA (283 nucleotides) under Klebsiella pneumoniae. RNAcentral describes it as "partial 16S ribosomal RNA". It matches the Rfam family "Bacterial small subunit ribosomal RNA", at positions 922 to 1205 of the family's 1533-position model. The record is from RNAcentral. Lineage: Bacteria; Pseudomonadati; Pseudomonadota; Gammaproteobacteria; Enterobacterales; Enterobacteriaceae. RNAcentral also lists the same sequence under 1 other name.